This 236-nucleotide ribosomal RNA is filed under the name uncultured bacterium. RNAcentral describes it as "partial 16S ribosomal RNA". It matches the Rfam family "Bacterial small subunit ribosomal RNA", at positions 100 to 334 of the family's 1533-position model. The record is from RNAcentral.
CGGGACGGGUGAGUAACGCGUGGAUAACCUGCCUCACACUGGGGGAUAACCGUUAGAAAUGACUGCUAAUACCGCAUAAGCGCACAGUACCGCAUGGUACGGUGUGAAAAACUCCGGUGGUGUGAGAUGGAUCCGCGUCUGAUUAGCCAGUUGGCGGGGUAACGGCCCACCAAAGCGACGAUCAGUAGCCGACCUGAGAGGGUGACCGGCCACAUUGGGACUGAGACACGGCCCAA